GGAGGCGUGGCCGAGUGGUUGAAGGCACCGGUCUUGAAAACCGGCAACGGGUUAAACCGUUCGUGAGUUCGAAUCCCACCGCCUCCGCCA
Molecule: transfer RNA, 90 nt
Filed under: Erysipelothrix sp.
Lineage: Bacteria; Bacillati; Bacillota; Erysipelotrichia; Erysipelotrichales; Erysipelotrichaceae
Also listed under: 13 other names
Description: tRNA-Ser
Rfam family: tRNA
About the family: Transfer RNA (tRNA) molecules are approximately 80 nucleotides in length. Their secondary structure includes four short double-helical elements and three loops (D, anti-codon, and T loops). Further hydrogen bonds mediate the characteristic L-shaped molecular structure. tRNAs have two regions of fundamental functional importance: the anti-codon, which is responsible for specific mRNA codon recognition, and the 3' end, to which the tRNAs corresponding amino acid is attached (by aminoacyl-tRNA synthetases). tRNAs cope with the degeneracy of the genetic code in two manners: having more than one tRNA (with a specific anti-codon) for a particular amino acid; and 'wobble' base-pairing, i.e. permitting non-standard base-pairing at the 3rd anti-codon position.
Source: RNAcentral